UGCAGUCGAACGAUGAUGCCCAGCUUGCUGGGUGGAUUAGUGGCGAACGGGUGAGUAACACGUGAGUAACCUGCCCCUGACUCUGGGAUAAGCGUUGGAAACGACGUCUAAUACUGGAUAUGAUCACUGGCCGCAUGGUCUGGUGGUGGAAAGAUUUUUUGGUUGGGGAUGGACUCGCGGCCUAUCAGCUUGUUGGUGAGGUAAUGGCUCACCAAGGCGACGACGGGUAGCCGGCCUGAGAGGGUGACCGGCCACACUGGGACUGAGACACGGCCCAGACUCCUACGGGAGGCAGCAGUGGGGAAUAUUGCACAAUGGGCGAAAGCCUGAUGCAGCAACGCCGCGUGAGGGAUGACGGCCUUCGGGUUGUAAACCUCUUUUAGUAGGGAAGAAGCGAAAGUGACGGUACCUGCAGAAAAAGCACCGGCUAACUACGUGCCAGCAGCCGCGGUAAUACGUAGGGUGCAAGCGUUGUCCGGAAUUAUUGGGCGUAAAGAGCUCGUAGGCGGUUUGUCGCGUCUGCUGUGAAAUCCCGAGGCUCAACCUCGGGCUUGCAGUGGGUACGGGCAGACUAGAGUGCGGUAGGGGAGAUUGGAAUUCCUGGUGUAGCGGUGGAAUGCGCAGAUAUCAGGAGGAACACCGAUGGCGAAGGCAGAUCUCUGGGCCGUAACUGACGCUGAGGAGCGAAAGCAUGGGGAGCGAACAGGAUUAGAUACCCUGGUAGUCCAUGCCGUAAACGUUGGGCGCUAGAUGUAGGGACCUUUCCACGGUUUCUGUGUCGUAGCUAACGCAUUAAGCGCCCCGCCUGGGGAGUACGGCCGCAAGGCUAAAACUCAAAGGAAUUGACGGGGGCCCGCACAAGCGGCGGAGCAUGCGGAUUAAUUCGAUGCAACGCGAAGAACCUUACCAAGGCUUGACAUACACCGGAAACGGCCAGAGAUGGUCGCCCCCUUGUGGUCGGUGUACAGGUGGUGCAUGGUUGUCGUCAGCUCGUGUCGUGAGAUGUUGGGUUAAGUCCCGCAACGAGCGCAACCCUCGUUCUAUGUUGCCAGCGGGUUAUGCCGGGGACUCAUAGGAGACUGCCGGGGUCAACUCGGAGGAAGGUGGGGAUGACGUCAAAUCAUCAUGCCCCUUAUGUCUUGGGCUUCACGCAUGCUACAAUGGCCGGUACAAAGGGCUGCGAUACCGUAAGGUGGAGCGAAUCCCAAAAAGCCGGUCUCAGUUCGGAUUGAGGUCUGCAACUCGACCUCAUGAAGUCGGAGUCGCUAGUAAUCGCAGAUCAGCAACGCUGCGGUGAAUACGUUCCCGGGCCUUGUACACACCGCCCGUCAAGUCAUGAAAGUCGGUAACACCCGAAGCCGGUGGCCUAACCCUUGUGGAAGGAGCCGUCGAA
RNAcentral lists this ribosomal RNA (1393 nucleotides) under Curtobacterium flaccumfaciens. RNAcentral describes it as "partial 16S ribosomal RNA". It matches the Rfam family "Bacterial small subunit ribosomal RNA". Lineage: Bacteria; Bacillati; Actinomycetota; Actinomycetes; Micrococcales; Microbacteriaceae. The record is from RNAcentral. RNAcentral also lists the same sequence under 1 other name.